This 605-nucleotide ribosomal RNA is filed under the name Geitlerinema sp. WUC1784. RNAcentral's name for it is "bacterial SSU rRNA". It matches the Rfam family "Bacterial small subunit ribosomal RNA", at positions 150 to 788 of the family's 1533-position model. The record is from RNAcentral. Lineage: Bacteria; Bacillati; Cyanobacteriota; Cyanophyceae; Geitlerinematales; Geitlerinemataceae.
UUGGAACGACUGCUAAUACCGGAUGUGCCCACGGGUGAAGGCUUGCUGCCUGAAAAAGAGCUUGCGUCCGAUUAGCUAGUUGGUGAGGUAAAGGCUUACCAAGGCAUCGAUCGGUAGCUGGUCUGAGAGGAUGACCAGCCACACUGGGACUGAGACAAGGCCCAGACUCCUACGGGAGGCAGCAGUGGGGAAUUUUCCGCAAUGGGCGAAAGCCUGACGGAGCAAUACCGCGUGAGGGAAGAAGGCUCUUGGGUUGUAAACCUCUUUUCUCAGGGAAUAAAAAAAUGAAGGUACCUGAGGAAUAAGCAUCGGCUAACUCCGUGCCAGCAGCCGCGGUAAUACGGAGGAUGCAAGCGUUAUUCCGGAAUGAUUGGGCGUAAAGCGUCCGCAGGUGGUACAACAAGUCUAGUGUCAAAGACCGGGGCUUAACUCCGGGAUGGCGGUGGAAACUGUUGAACUAGAGGGUCGUAGGGGUAGAGGGAAUUCCCAGUGUAGCGGUGAAAUGCGUAGAGAUUGGGAAGAACAUCGGUGGCGAAGGCGCUCUACUGGACGGCAACUGACACUCAGGGACGAAAGCUAGGGGAGCGAAUGGGAUUAGAUACCCC